This 194-nucleotide ribosomal RNA is filed under the name uncultured bacterium. RNAcentral describes it as "partial 16S ribosomal RNA". It matches the Rfam family "Bacterial small subunit ribosomal RNA", at positions 338 to 524 of the family's 1533-position model. The record is from RNAcentral.
CCUACGGGAGGCAGCAGUGGGGGAUAUUGGACAAUGGGGGCAGCCCUGAUCCAGCAAUGCCGCGUGUGUGAAGAAGGCCUUCGGGUUGUAAAGCACUUUCAGUGGGGAGAAAGGUCAUUCACCUAAUACGUGAGUGAAUUGAUGUUACCCACAGAAGAAGCACCGGCUAACUCCGUGCCAGCAGCCGCGGUAAU